This 1348-nucleotide long non-coding RNA is filed under the name Oncorhynchus kisutch (coho salmon). RNAcentral's name for it is "lncRNA (ENSOKIG00005017686.1)". The record is from RNAcentral. Lineage: Eukaryota; Metazoa; Chordata; Actinopteri; Salmoniformes; Salmonidae.
UUGGCGCGGCGCGGUGACAUGGAAGGGACAUAUACGCACAUCGCUGCAUGGGCUGGAACUGCUGCUGGUUCAGCGUUGAGAGACACGGACACCGCCGGGGAGAAUUAUUAUGCUGCUGCCGCAACUACAACCGAAGGCACCAGUCAACCGAAGGCUGUCAUCAGUUUGUGUUUGUUUGUCUCUGCACGUUGAGAAAUGUGGAAUGCUGCGUUCGGAAAUGGGUCAGAUUUGCGUAGUGGAGGAGGCGGCGGCUGCGGCGGCGGGUACGUGCCAGCGCAGGACUGGGAAUUCGUUUCCUGCUCGCGCCUGGAAAGAGAAAGAGAGCGCGGCAGAGGGAAGAGUCGCAGCCCGUUCAGGACGUUCUCCUCCCCGCCAACAGUCACUCAGUUCUACGAACAGUCUCAUCCUGGAACGGUUGGAACAUCACUGGAGCUUCCUCGGGGACAAGUUCGGGCGCAAGAGCCAGGGACUCAUCACUCCCGCCUGAAAAAGAAGUUUGAACACUUCAAGAAACGCCACGGACAGGACAAGGAAGAAUGGAUACGAGAGAAGGAGAUACUUUUAAGACAAGUUGCUGAGAUACAAGGUGGGGAGAACAGAAGGAUUUUGUUGGAUCUGAAGACUGUAGUGGAGGAGGUGCAGCUAGAGGUGAAGAGAGAGGAGUCGAAGAGGAGCGAGCUACAGCUGCAGUACACUAAGGACAGAUGUGCCUGGGAACUGGAGAGAGCUGAGCUGAAAUGCAGAAUCGCACAGGCUACCAGGGCCUACCACUAAGCAUCCUGGGUCUUCGGGCUACCAGGGCCUACCACUAAGCAUCCUGUGUCUUCAGGCUACCAGGGUUUGCCACUAAGCAUCCUGUGUCUUCGAGCUACCAGGGUUUGCCACUAAGCAUCCUGUGUCUUCGAGCUACCAGGGUUUGCCACUAAGCAUCCUGGGUCUUCAGGCUACCAGGGUUUGCCACUAAGCAUCCUGUGUCUUCGAGCUACCAGGGUUUGCCACUAAGCAUCCUGGGACUCAGCCGGAUAUUUGCAGGCAUAUUUGUCCACAUACUUUAGAUGUUUGUUGAGCAGAAAACUCUCCAUCAGUCCUUCCAGCCCCACCGCACACACACACACACACACCACACACACACACAACACACACACACACACACACACACACACACACACAGAGAGAAACAUCUCCGUCGUCCUCCAAGCCCCACCGCUCACACACACACACACACACACACCACACACACACACACACACACACACACACACACACACACACACACAACACACACAGAGAGAAACAUCUCCGUCGUCCUUCCAGCCCCCACCGCUCCCUGAAUGUACGUGACGCUGUA